GUGCUUAUUUUAACAGCACAUAUAUUUGUAUUGGAAUCACACAGAGAUCAGCAUGGCCCUGCCCAAGGAUGGCAUGCAAAUUCAUGAAGUAUAUCCGUUUUCU
Rattus norvegicus (Norway rat) is the source of this 103-nucleotide small nuclear RNA. The record is from Ensembl. Lineage: Eukaryota; Metazoa; Chordata; Mammalia; Rodentia; Muridae.